Molecule: ribosomal RNA, 500 nt
Filed under: uncultured bacterium
Lineage: Bacteria
Description: partial 16S ribosomal RNA
Rfam family: Bacterial small subunit ribosomal RNA
Source: RNAcentral
AUUGAACGCUGGCGGAAUGCUUUACACACGCAAGUCGAACGGCAGCACGGGGGCAACCCUGGUGGCGAGUGGCGAACGGGUGAGUAAUACAUCGGAACGUGCCCAGUCGUGGGGGAUCACGUAGCGAAAGUUACGCUAAUACCGCAUACGAUCUACGGAUGAAAGCGGGGGACCGUAAGGCCUCGCGCGCUUGGAGCGGCCGAUGUCAGAUUAGGUAGUUGGUGAGGCAAAGGCUCACCAAGCCGACGAUCUGUAGCUGGUCUGAGAGGACGACCAGCCACACUGGGACUGAGACACGGCCCAGACUCCUACGGGAGGCAGCAGUGGGGAAUUUUGGACAAUGGGCGCAAGCCUGAUCCAGCCAUUCCGCGUGCAGGACGAAGGCCUUCGGGUUGUAAACUGCUUUUGUACGGAACGAAAAGGCUCUGGUUAAUACCUGGGGCUCAUGACGGUACCGUAAGAAUAAGCACCGGCUAACUACGUGCCAGCAGCCGCCGUAA